GACGAACGCUGGCGGCGUGCUUAACACAUGCAAGUCGAACGGAAAGGCCCUGCUUGCAGGGUGCUCGAGUGGCGAACGGGUGAGUAACACGUGGGUGAUCUGCCCCUUACUUUGGGAUAAGCCUGGGAAACUGGGUCUAAUACUGGAUAGGACCAUGCUGUAGGUGGUGUGGUGGAAAGAUUAGUUUCGGUAAGGGAUGAGCUCGCGGCCUAUCAGCUUGUUGGUGGGGUAAUGGCCUACCAAGGCGUCGACGGGUAGCCGGCCUGAGAGGGUGGACGGCCACAUUGGGACUGCGAUACGGCCCAGACUCCUACGGGAGGCAGCAGUGGGGAAUAUUGCACAAUGGGCGCAAGCCUGAUGCAGCGACGCCGCGUGGGGGAUGACGGCCUUCGGGUUGUAAACUCCUUUCAGCCAUGACGAAGCCCUUGUGGUGACGGUAGUGGUAGAAGAAGCACCGGCUAACUACGUG
Molecule: ribosomal RNA, 469 nt
Filed under: uncultured bacterium
Lineage: Bacteria
Description: partial 16S ribosomal RNA
Rfam family: Bacterial small subunit ribosomal RNA
Source: RNAcentral